Molecule: unclassified non-coding RNA, 317 nt
Filed under: Clavatospora longibrachiata
Lineage: Eukaryota; Fungi; Ascomycota; Sordariomycetes; Microascales; Halosphaeriaceae
Description: partial internal transcribed spacer region
Rfam family: Eukaryotic small subunit ribosomal RNA (bases 1-46)
Source: RNAcentral
AAGUCGUAACAAGGUUUCCGUAGGUGAACCUGCGGAAGGAUCAUUACCGAGAUUUUUUCAUGGACUUGUUUUAUGAAAUCUCCCACCCUUUGUGUUACCAAAUAUUAUUACUUUGGUGAAGCGUGUCUUUCUUUUUCUAUCUGUCUCUGGAGUCUCUUUUGACGAAGGGGAAAGGUAAAGAGGGGAAAUCCAUCGGCUCUUGAUUGAGUGGGUGUGUUCUUCACCAAAGGAACCAUUAACUCUUUUAUUAUUUUAUCAAUUGUCUGAGUUUAUAUUUUAAAUAAACAAAACUUUCAACAACGGAUCUCUUGGUUCUG